This 494-nucleotide ribosomal RNA is filed under the name uncultured bacterium. RNAcentral's name for it is "partial 16S ribosomal RNA". It matches the Rfam family "Bacterial small subunit ribosomal RNA", at positions 28 to 507 of the family's 1533-position model. The record is from RNAcentral.
GACGAACGCUGGCGGCGUGCUUAACACAUGCAAGUCGAACGGUGAAGCGCCUUCCUUUUUGGUGGGUGUGGAUGAGUGGCGAACGGGUGAGUAACACGUGAGUAACCUGCCCCCUUCUUCUGGAUAACCGCAUGAAAGUGUGGCUAAUACGGGAUAUUCUGGGUCUGUCGCAUGAUGGGUCUGGGAAAGAUAUUGUUUCGGUGGGGGAUGGGCUCGCGGCCUAUCAGCUUGUUGGUGGGGUGAUGGCCUACCAAGGCGGUGACGGGUAGCCGGCCUGAGAGGGUGGACGGCCACACUGGGACUGAGACACGGCCGAGACUCCUACGGGGGGCAGCAGUGGGGAAUAGUGCACAGUGGGCGCAAGCCUGAUGCAGCGACGCCGCGGGAGGGAUGGAGGCCUUCGGGUUGUGAACCUCUUUCGCCAGUGAAGCAGGCCUGCCUCGUUUGUGGGUGGGUUGACGGUAGCUGGAUAAGAAGCGCCGGCUAACUACGUG